This 351-nucleotide unclassified non-coding RNA is filed under the name soil metagenome. RNAcentral's name for it is "partial contains 5.8S ribosomal RNA, internal transcribed spacer 2, and large subunit ribosomal RNA". The stretch from base 1 to 120 matches the Rfam family "5.8S ribosomal RNA", at positions 35 to 154 of the family's 154-position model. The record is from RNAcentral.
GAUGAAGAACGUAGCGAAAUGCGAUAAGUAAUGUGAAUUGCAGAAUUCAGUGAAUCAUCGAAUCUUUGAACGCACAUUGCGCCCGCCAGUAUUCUGGCGGGCAUGCCUGUUCGAGCGUCAUUACAACCCUCAGGCCCCCGGGCCUGGCGUUGGGGAUCGGCGGAGCCCCCCGUGGGCACACGCCGUCCCCCAAAUGCAGUGGGGUCCCGCCGCAGCUUCCAUCGCGUAGUAGCUAACACCUCGCGACUGGAGAGCGGCGCGGCCACGCCGUAAAACACCCAACUCUUCUGAAGUUGACCUCGAAUCAGGUAGGAAUACCCGCUGAACUUAAGCAUAUCAAUAAGCGGAGGA